This 433-nucleotide ribosomal RNA is filed under the name uncultured bacterium. RNAcentral describes it as "partial 16S ribosomal RNA". It matches the Rfam family "Bacterial small subunit ribosomal RNA", at positions 29 to 507 of the family's 1533-position model. The record is from RNAcentral.
AACGAACGCUGGCGGCAUGCCUAACACAUGCGAGUCGAACGAGACCUUCGGGUCUAGUGGCGCACGGGUGCGUAACGCGUGGGAACCUGCCCUUAGGUUCGGAAUAACUCCCCGAAAGGGGUGCUAAUACCGGAUAAUGUCUUCGGACCAAAGAUUUAUCGCCUUUGGAUGGGCCCGCGUUGGAUUAGCUAGUUGGUAGGGUAAAAGCCUACCAAGGCGACGAUCCAUAGCUGGUCUGAGAGGAUGAUCAGCCACACUGGGACUGAGACACGGCCCAGACUCCUACGGGAGGCAGCAGUGGGGAAUAUUGGACAAUGGGCGAAAGCCUGAUCCAGCAAUGCCGCGUGAGUGAUGAAGGCCUUAGGGCUGUAAAGCUCUUUUACCCGGGAUGAUAAUGACAGUACCGGGAGAAUAAGCUCCGGCUAACUCCGUG